GGGCCAGUGGAGUGUGUCUGGGUCAGCUGAGUGCCUAUAUCAAAGCUCCCAGCCUUGAAAAAGACACCCUGUUCCCAGGCCUCAAGAUAUUGAAACAUCAAUUAGAUAAUUUAAAGUAGGGUUUUCUUCUACAAUGUCUGAAGAAGUGACCUACGCAACACUCACAUUUCAGGAUUAUGCUGGAGCAAGGAAUAACCGACAUGGAAAUAACCUAAGAAAAAAAGGGCAUCCAGCUCCAUCUCCCAUUUGGCGUCAUGCUGCCCUGGGUCUGCUAACUCUUUGCCUGAUGUUGCUGAUUGGGCUGGUGACCUUGGGGAUGAUGUUUUUGCAGAUAUCUAAUGACAUUAACUCAGAUUCAGAGAAAUUGAGUCAACUUCAGAAAACCAUCCACCAGCAGCAGGAUAACUUAUCUCAGCAACUGGGCAACUCCAAUAACUUGUCCAUAGAGGAGGAAUUUCUCAAGUCACAGAUCUCCAGUCUACUGAAGAGGCAGGAACAAAUGGCCAUCAAACUGUGCCAAGAGCUAAUCAUUCAUGCUUCAGACCACAGAUGUAAUCCAUGUCCUAAAAUGUGGCAAUGGUACCAAAAUAGUUGCUAUUAUUUUACAACAAAUGAAGAGAAAACCUGGACUAACAGUAGAAAGGACUGCAUAGACAAGAACUCCACCCUAGUGAAGAUAGACACUUUGGAAGAAAAGGAUUUUCUUAUGUCACAGCCAUUACUGAUGUUUUCAUUCUUUUGGCUAGGAUUAUCAUGGGACUCCUCUGGCAGAAGUUGGUUCUGGGAAGAUGGCUCUGUUCCCUCUCCAUCCUUGUACGUCUCUAACUAUUGAGGGUAAACACAAGUUUUCCAUGGAAUCCUGGGAAAAUUAAUAAUGAUUGUGAGAAUUAUAAACACAGACAUAAAAAGAGGAGUACAACAUACUGAGAAAAGAGCUCCAGUAACAAAUAUUGAAAGGAGAUUUAGUACUAAAGAACUGGACCAGAUCAAUGGAUCCAAAGGAUGUGCUUAUUUUCAAAAAGGAAAUAUUUAUAUUUCUCGCUGUAGUGCCGAAAUUUUUUGGAUUUGCGAGAAGACGGCCGCCCCAGUGAAGACUGAGGAUUUGGAUUAGUAUGCUUCUUCCAAAUUCUCCAAGAAGUAAGAGACUUGGAGAGGAAAGAGGAAACCACGGUACCAGAGCCAAAACCAGCUUUUAAAAUGACUCUGUAUUUACAUCAUCAGACAAAUGAACUUGUUUAACAAACGUUCUCCAGUUCCUUGUCUGACAUCUUCUGAUUUGAUAUUAUUAUUGGGUCUUACAAUUAUCCCUGGGGACUAAGGGGAAUAGCCACACUAUGGCUUUAUGAUUGUCUCAAAAUCAUUUCACUGAAUUUCUUUGCCU
Molecule: RNA transcript, 1381 nt
Organism: Rhinopithecus roxellana (golden snub-nosed monkey)
Lineage: Eukaryota; Metazoa; Chordata; Mammalia; Primates; Cercopithecidae
Gene: CLEC12B
Gene name: C-type lectin domain family 12 member B
Exons: 6
Source: RefSeq, a predicted model, not a curated record